CCCCCAAUAUCAAAUUCGAAUAAUAAUGUAGUUCGAAAAAAAGUUGAAAACAUUUUUUUUUGUUAACCGGCGGCAUUAAAAAGAUGAAUGUAUUAAUUAAGAGUUGCUUUACCAACAAAAGCACGGGACAUCCACUCAUCUUUCUCUCUUCCCUAAACGCACCCACACCACAAAAAUUUCUAUCAUUGUCUCUCUCUCUCUCUUGCCCACAUCACUCUCCUUCUCUCCCUCGGUCUCUCCGUCUCCUUCACACGCACACGCAACAAGCAGAGAACACAGAGCCUUCCGUCUCCGUCUCUCCCUCGGUCUCUCCGUCUCCUUCUCUCCCUCGGUCCGGUCUCUCCGUAGUCCGUCCAAUAUGCUGGGUCACCUCAUCACCUCAGUCUCUCUCGAAUCUCGAUCUCGAUCUGGAUCCUUCCCUCAAUCUCUCCAUCCUUCUUCUUCUCCCUCAGUCUCUCGAACUCGAUCCUUCUCCGGUUCUCCCUCCCAUCUCUUCUCUGCAACUCCGCCGAGCACCAUCACCACCUCCCCCCCCCCAUCUCUUCUCUGCAACUCCGCCGAGUUGCUUGGGGCCUUUUUACGAUCUCUCUACACCCCGGGGGACGUGAUUUUGUUGUUGUUCAGCUCGUACCCACCACCUGUGGUUUCCUCCUCCCUUUCUCACCUCCCGGCGGCGGCGACGACGACGAAUAUCGCGAUAAUAUCGAUAAUAUCGCGAUAUUUUCGAUAUUUUCGAUAAUAUCGCGAUAUUUGGACGAAAACCACACGGAUACCUAUUUAAAUAUCCAUUCCCCGAAAAAUCGAUAUUAUCGGCGAUAUUUCGCCGAUAAUAUCGAUAUUUAAAUCCAUGGUUAUAGGUAGGUGUAGAUGUGAAGGUGCCUAAGGAGUCAUCCUAAAAUACGCUGUUAAAGGCCUUAGCUAUAAAGAAAUCAGUUGGUGGUUUCGCCACAGCAAACAAUCCUCUGAGAGCUAAAAAAAUUCGCAUUUUAGCUUCCGUGUCUACGAUAAUACUGAAUUCGUGGGCUUGUAAAAGAACUAGUAAGCCCAAUUUUCCUAGAUUUUAUUACAAGUUUACCCUUUCUAAUCAGCGAUGACGUUUGUGGAAGAGUUGCAUAUAUGCUGUGCUUUCUUGCCGCCCUUUCUGCUCUUACCGUGAGCGAUGGCGCGCCUAAAGCACAAAGCGGCCCCGCCGCCUGCAGCCGCCGACAAGUCGGAAAAUCGGCGUAGUUUAAACAUGGAGAGGUCGGCUUACUUCUUCAGGAGGGAAGCGGCGAACUGUGAAUUUUUUAUAUGAACUGUGAAUUUGAAUACGUACAGGUGAGUUCAUCGGCAGCUGGUGAUGCGGAGAAGUAUCUCAUGCGUCGCCAAGAAGCUCUGCAGUCCGGUUUGGCUGGCCUUUUGGUGAAGAAAUAAGUGAAGAAAGUUGAAGACUUGAUAAUUCUUCAUGAAAUUCCUGGUGUGUGAUUUUACAGUGUUAUUAGUUUCAUCCUGUUGUUCCAGCUCUUCAGUUUUAUACUAUUAGCGUGGAAGUUGUGGAAACAAAGUACUUUGCUUUGCAACAUUCAGUUCAUAAAAUCCAAGGGAAAUUUAAACUGUAAGGAUGUGGAUCGGUGUUGCCCUUUUGGACACUAAUUUCUGGUUGCAGAUAGUUCAAUACCUCGUUAUGUUCGAGUAAAUACUCCGCCUUACUUGAAUUAGAGAAGCAAUUUAAGGUUCAAAAGGAUGACUUGGUACCUGAUUUGUUGGUUCUUCCACCGGGUAGUGAUCUUCGUGAUCAUCCUCUAGUAAUGGAUGGAAGUAUUGUUAUGCAAAAAAAUUGUCUAAACCGUGAAGGAUCCAUUUAUCUUUUAUCUGUGAUUUAUGGUUUUAUCAUUUGUUUAACGGGGAAAGGCAAGCUCUAUGGUGGCCGCAGCCCUCGCUCCAAAACCAGGAUGGGAGGUUCUUUAUGCGAGCUUGGCUCCUGGAAACAAAACUGUACACCCUUCAGCUCUAAUGAGAGGAAAAAGGGAAAUGUCAUAGCAUGUGAGCUGAAUGAAGAAAGGGUCCGACGUUUAAAAGAGACGAUCGGACUUUCUGGUACUUCUAGUAUCCUUCUUCCUUAGUCUUUUUGUUUACUUUCUGUCUAUUCUCUUUUUCCUUGUUGAAAAGAGUGGAACUACGGCAAUCUAACGAGGAAUGCCGGUCUCUGAAUCUUUGCUGUCGUAGCGUUAACAUAUUGAUAACCCAUUUGACUUCACCUGGACUUAGAUAUUAAGGUUGUGGAUGGAGUUUUCUUAGACUUGAACCCUGAAGAUCCUCAAUAUUCCAAGGUUAGACGACUUGACUUCCGGACCGUUGUUACCUUUCUCCUCUUGGUUGCAGACUUGCGUUUUACAAUGCUUCAAAUAUGUUCCUUUCAUGCUUACAACGAAAAUCUGUUGUGUUUGGCUCAUAUACUUAUGAGUUGGCAAUAAUUUUGAUAGUGUAACUUUCUGAAUGCUACAAGGAAAUGGCAGCAGCCAUUUGUGACUUUGUGUUUGGCUUUCGAUUGUGGCAUGGAAAUCUUGUUUCAGCAGAAGACAUGGUGACUGCCACAAUCAAAGUUGGAAGCAAGCAAGUCUUGACUUUGUGCUUGCUUGCAAUUGUGCAUGUUUUAUUUUCUAAACAUUAAAUGGCAAAUGGAGAAAAAGUUGUACUCUAUAGGCUAGGUAUAAAAAAGGGUGUUGAAUGUGCCAUGUGAACUUAAGAUUUUCUUGGUCUUGGUUGUUGGCAUAAUUGUUGGUGCAUGACUAUAAGUGAAGGAAAUAGUUAUGCAUUGUGUGAGCAUCCGGAGGAGAGCACAAGGGAGAGAAAAUAGAGAGUGAGAGUGAGAAACUCUUGGGGUAGAGUGAGGUUUUUGGGAAAAUUCUGUGAC
Molecule: non-coding RNA, 2893 nt
Organism: Malus domestica (apple)
Lineage: Eukaryota; Viridiplantae; Streptophyta; Magnoliopsida; Rosales; Rosaceae
Source: RefSeq, a predicted model, not a curated record